UUUAUGGAGAGUUUGAUCCUGGCUCAGGAUGAACGCUGGCGGCGUGCCUAAUACAUGCAAGUCGAGCGAACGGACGAGAAGCUUGCUUCUCUGAUGUUAGCGGCGGACGGGUGAGUAACACGUGGAUAACCUACCUAUAAGACUGGGAUAACUUCGGGAAACCGGAGCUAAUACCGGAUAAUAUUUUGAACCGCAUGGUUCAAAAGUGAAAGACGGUCUUGCUGUCACUUAUAGAUGGAUCCGCGCUGCAUUAGCUAGUUGGUAAGGUAACGGCUUACCAAGGCAACGAUGCAUAGCCGACCUGAGAGGGUGAUCGGCCACACUGGAACUGAGACACGGUCCAGACUCCUACGGGAGGCAGCAGUAGGGAAUCUUCCGCAAUGGGCAAAAGCCUGACGGAGCAACGCCGCGUGAGUGAUGAAGGUCUUCGGAUCGUAAAACUCUGUUAUUAGGGAAGAACAUAUGUGUAAGUAACUGUGCACAUCUUGACGGUACCUAAUCAGAAAGCCACGGCUAACUACGUGCCAGCAGCCGCGGUAAUACGUAGGUGGCAAGCGUUAUCCGGAAUUAUUGGGCGUAAAGCGCGCGUAGGCGGUUUUUUAAGUCUGAUGUGAAAGCCCACGGCUCAACCGUGGAGGGUCAUUGGAAACUGGAAAACUUGAGUGCAGAAGAGGAAAGUGGAAUUCC
This 687-nucleotide ribosomal RNA is filed under the name Escherichia coli. RNAcentral describes it as "bacterial SSU rRNA". It matches the Rfam family "Bacterial small subunit ribosomal RNA", at positions 1 to 670 of the family's 1533-position model. Lineage: Bacteria; Pseudomonadati; Pseudomonadota; Gammaproteobacteria; Enterobacterales; Enterobacteriaceae. The record is from RNAcentral.